Molecule: ribosomal RNA, 497 nt
Filed under: uncultured bacterium
Lineage: Bacteria
Description: partial 16S ribosomal RNA
Rfam family: Bacterial small subunit ribosomal RNA
Source: RNAcentral
GAUGAACGCUGGCGGCGUGCCUAAUACAUGCAAGUCGAACGAACAGACGAUGAGCUUGCGCCGUUGACGUUUGCGGCGGGCGGGUGUGUAACACGUGUAUCACCCACUUAUAAUACUGGUAAAAUCACGGGAAACGGGCUCUUAUACCGUAGAAUAUAUUGAACCGCAGGGGUCAAUGGUGAAAUACGGCUGUGCGGGCUCGUAUAGAUGGAUCCCCGCCGCAUUAGCUGGUUGGUCAGGUAACGGCUUAUCAAGGCGACGAGGCGUAGGCGACGUGACUGACGGAUAGCCCACACGGGAACUGAGACACGGUCCAGACUCCUGCGGGAGGCAGCAGUCGGGAAUGUUCCGCAGUGGGCGAAAGCAUUACACAGCAAGCCCGCGUCAGUGAUGACGGUCUUCCGUGCGUAAAGCUCUGUUAUGAGGGAAGAACAACUGUGUAAGUAAAUAUAGCCGUCUUGACGGUACCUAAUCAGAAAGCACCGGCUAACUACGUG